ACACUUUGGAAGGAGAAUCCUGCUCUUGGACGUGGUAUUCUUGGUGGGACAGCUACCUAUAAAAUGAAUGAGGUGAGAAAACUGGAGCAAGGGGAUAUUAAAGAUUUGACGAAGGGCAUGUCAUUAUUAAAUGAGAAGCCAAGCUGUAACUCUUGUCAUCCAAGUCUCCUAACACCCAGUUCAGGGGCCUUUACACCAUACCACCAGGCAAUAAAUGCCAUCCCAAAAAAGGAAUAAUAAUGAGAUUGGGUAUGUAAAAUAUCGAUAAGUAGAGGCAUUUGUUAAUGUUAACAAUGAAAUU
This 301-nucleotide long non-coding RNA is filed under the name Homo sapiens (human). RNAcentral's name for it is "HSALNT0082043". The record is from RNAcentral. Lineage: Eukaryota; Metazoa; Chordata; Mammalia; Primates; Hominidae.